Molecule: ribosomal RNA, 164 nt
Filed under: uncultured bacterium
Lineage: Bacteria
Description: partial 16S rRNA
Rfam family: Bacterial small subunit ribosomal RNA
Source: RNAcentral
UAGGGAAUCUUCCACAAUGGACGCAAGUCUGAUGGAGCAACGCCGCGUGAGUGAAGAAGGUCUUCGGAUCGUAAAACUCUGUUGUUAGAGAGGAACACGAGUGAGAGUUAACUGUUCAUUCGAUGACGGUAUCUAACCAGCAAGUCACGGCUAACUACCAGCAG